UCAUGGCCCUUACGAGUAGGGCUACACACGUGCUACAAUGGCGCAUACAGAGGGCAGCCAACUUGCGAAAGUGAGCGAAUCCCAAAAAGUGCGUCGUAGUCCGGAUUGGAGUCUGCAACUCGACUCCAUGAAGUCGGAAUCGCUAGUAAUCGUGGAUCAGAAUGCCACGGUGAAUACGUUCCCGGGCCUUGUACACACCGCCCGUCACACCAUGGGAGUGGGCUGCAAAAGAAGUAGGUAGUUUAACCUUCGGGGGGACGCUUACCACUUUGUGGUUCAUGACUGGGGUGAAGUCGUAACAAGGUAGCGCUAGGGGAACCUGGCGCUGGAUCACCUCCUUA
RNAcentral lists this ribosomal RNA (341 nucleotides) under Vibrio parahaemolyticus. RNAcentral describes it as "bacterial SSU rRNA". It matches the Rfam family "Bacterial small subunit ribosomal RNA", at positions 1193 to 1533 of the family's 1533-position model. RNAcentral also lists the same sequence under 1 other name. Lineage: Bacteria; Pseudomonadati; Pseudomonadota; Gammaproteobacteria; Vibrionales; Vibrionaceae. The record is from RNAcentral.